RNAcentral lists this ribosomal RNA (313 nucleotides) under uncultured bacterium. RNAcentral's name for it is "bacterial SSU rRNA". It matches the Rfam family "Bacterial small subunit ribosomal RNA", at positions 28 to 334 of the family's 1533-position model. The record is from RNAcentral.
GAUAAACGCUGGCGGCGCACAUAAGACAUGCAAGUCGAACGGACUUAACCAUUAGUUUACUAUUGGAGCGGUUAGUGGCGGACUGGUGAGUAACACGUAAGCAACCUGCCUAUCAGAGGGGAACAACAGUUAGAAAUGGCUGCUAAUACCGCAUAAGCGCACAGGGCCGCAUGGCCCGGUGUGAAAAACUCCGGUGGUAUAAGAUGGACCCGCGUCUGAUUAGCUGGUUGGUGGGGUAACGGCCCACCAAGGCGACGAUCAGUAGCCGGCCUGAGAGGGUGAACGGCCACAUUGGGACUGAGACACGGCCCAG